This 740-nucleotide ribosomal RNA is filed under the name Nikoides sp. BOLD:ACR8697. RNAcentral's name for it is "eukaryotic LSU rRNA". It matches the Rfam family "Eukaryotic large subunit ribosomal RNA", at positions 42 to 647 of the family's 3401-position model. Lineage: Eukaryota; Metazoa; Arthropoda; Malacostraca; Decapoda; Processidae. The record is from RNAcentral.
AUUAAUAAGCGGAGGAAAAGAAACCAACCGGGAUUCCCUUAGUAAGGGCGACUGAAAAGGGAGGAGCCCAGCGCAUAGCCUCGCGGACUUUCCGUCCGUCGAGGGGUGCUGCGUUGCGGUGGAUCCGUCCCGCCGGACUCGCUCACCGCCUAAGUCAUUGCUUGAAAGCAGCCCCGAGGAGGGUGUUAGGCCCGUGUGGCGGCGCCUGUAAGAGGGUGAAGGCGAGUUUGGCGGAGGGGUCUCACCGACGAGUCGGGUUGCCUAGUAUCGCAGCCCUAAGCAGGUGGUAAACUCCAUCUAAGGCUAAAUACGACCACGAAUCCGAUAGCUGACAAGUACCGUGAGGGAAAGCUGAAAAGAACUUUGAAGAGAGAGUUCAAGAGGACGUGAAACCGUUGGAAGGUUAAACGGGUGGAGCCGCGAAGGUCGAGAGAGGGGAUUCCGGCCGCCGUGCACUGAGCCUGAGGCUUCCUUCUUCCCCUUUGCGGGAGCGACCGGGGUGGCGAAAGCCGCCUGGGCGUGGAGGCUUCGGGCACGGGGCUCGGCGGGCUCAUUUCUCCCUCUCUUUGUCGCCGCGACCCGUUGUGGCGGCCCCUAGCCCCCGGACGGACUGGUAGGCGGCGGCUCCGGCCGCCGUCGAUGACCGACCGGGUGUGCGUGCGGGCUGCCGGCGACGGUGAUCGUGUUGGGGGGCCCGCGAGGGCUCCUCGCGGCGUACACGGGAACGGUAAUCCACCCGA